GCUGCUUCCUCUCCCUGCUUGGCUUCUGGCACUCUCUCAAAGAGUGUGCAGCUGAGUCAAGACUAAUUGAACAAACUGUGAAGCCAUUAACACAGGAUGGUGACUUCACUGCUGUUUUCUUAGCAAUGAUGGUUGGAGAUGUGAAUUGAUAAAAUACUGAAAGUAGUUAAGACAUAGAUAAAAAUGUGGAGAAAAUUACCACAUCCUUAGCUCCUCUAGAGAAGGAAGAAAAUAAACCCCAAGAGGAAACAGGAAAGAAGUAAGAAUACAUACUUGAAAACACACUAUUGUCACAGAUAUCAGGGAAAAGUGAUAGAGGAAGUGGACAACUGUGUUAAAUGUACCAAAACAUCAAGAAAAAGUAAGGACAAAGAAAGAACUGCUGCAAUUGACAAAUGAAGACAUUGUCAGAAACCAUUUCCGUGAGCAAUCGCACUGGCUUAGUGAAAGAAAUCAUUAGGUUGUAGGGAAUGGAGGCAAUAAAUAGACCCCACUCAUUCAGUAAGUUUGGCAUUAAAAGAUAAAAAGAAGUGUCUCAAGUGUCAAGCAGAUGUGUUAGUCACUCCUCUUUCCCAUUCCAGAUGUUAACCGCAAUCCCAAACCACUGUUUCAGAAGUGCCUGCUUUUGACUGCUGGGGAAA
Lontra canadensis (Northern American river otter) is the source of this 641-nucleotide long non-coding RNA. RefSeq lists it as uncharacterized. The record is from RefSeq and is a predicted model, not a curated record. Lineage: Eukaryota; Metazoa; Chordata; Mammalia; Carnivora; Mustelidae. The transcript is spliced from 3 exons.